Molecule: ribosomal RNA, 2037 nt
Filed under: metagenome
Description: bacterial LSU rRNA
Rfam family: Bacterial large subunit ribosomal RNA
Source: RNAcentral
GAAAGUAAACAAGGGCGCAUGGCGGAUGCCUUGGCUCUCGGAGGCGAUGAAGGACGUGAUAAGCUGCGAUAAGCUCCGGGGAGGUGCAAAUAACCUUUGAUCCGGGGAUUUCCGAAUGGGACAACCCGGCGUGUUGAAGACACGCCACCUGAUCAUUUCAGGAGCUAACGCAGGGAACUGAAACAUCUUAGUACCUGCAGGAAAAGAAAAUAACAAUGAUUCCCCCAGUAGUGGCGAGCGAACGGGGAAUAGCCCAAACCGUUCAUGUUACGGCAUGAUCGGGGUUGUAGGACUACGUCGUUGCAUGAAGACAUCGGAGAAGAACUUUCUGGAAAGAAAGACCAUAGAGCAUGACAGUUGCGUAUUCGUAUGUUGUCGAAGCAUAGUAGUAUCCUGAGUAGCGCGGAGCACGAGGAAUUCUGCGUGAAUCUGCCGGGACCAUCCGGUAAGGCUAAAUACUCCCGAGAGACCGAUAGCGAACCAGUACCGUGAGGGAAAGGUGAAAAGCACUUCGAACAGAAGAGUGAAAUAGUUCCUGAAACCGUGCGCCUACAAGCGGUCGGAGCUCAGCAAUGAGUGACGGCGUGCCUUUUGCAUAAUGAACCUACGAGUUGCCUUUGCCGGCAAGGUUAAGUGUGACGACACACGUAUCCGAAGCGAAAGCGAGUCUGAAGAGGGCGUAUAGUCGGCAGUGGCAGACGCGAAACCAAGUGAUCUACCCUUGGCCAGGUUGAAGGCUGGGUAACACCAGCUGGAGGACCGCACCAAUAAGCGUUGAAAAGCUUCUGGAUGAGCUGAGGGUAGGGGUGAAAGGCUAAUCAAACUUGGAGAUAGCUCGUACUCCCCGAAAUGCAUUUAGGUGCAGCCUUGCGGGUUACUGAUGUGAGGUAGAGCGACUGAUAAGAUGCGAGGGCUUCACCGCCUAUCAAGUCUUGACAAACUCCGAAUGCGCAUCAGUUCUACCGCAGGAGUGAGGGCAUGGGUGCUAAGGUCCGUGCCCGAGAGGAGAAGAAUCCGGACCACCUGCUAAGGUCCCGAAAUGACAGCUAAGUUAAACUAACGAAGUCUGACUGCUAAGACAGCUAGGAUGUUGGCUUGGAAGCAGCCAUUCAUUUAAAGAGUGCGUAACAGCUCACUAGUCGAGGAGUCGGGCGUGGAUAAUAAUCGGGUAUCAAGUUGUCUACCGAAGCAGUGGGAUCAUUUAUAUGAUCGGUAGGGGAGCAUUCCAGUCAGCGUCGAAGGCGUACCGUGAGGUAUUCUGGAGCGUCUGGAAAAGCAAAUGUAGGUAUAAGUAACGAUAAAGGGGGCGGGAAACCCCCUCGCCGAAAGACUAAGGUUUCCUGAUCAACGCUAAUCGGAUCAGGGUCAGUCGGGUCCUAAGGCUCAGCCGAACGGCGAUGCCGAUGGCAGAAACGGUUAAUAUUCCGUUACUACCUUCAGGAGUGACGUGGAGACGCAGUAGUGACAGUGCCGCCAUCUGACGGAAUAGAUGGUUGAAGGGUGUAGGAGUCGAUCAUGGCAGGCAAAUCCACCAUGAGAUCCGAACCUGAGAGUAUGCCGCGUCCUUCGGGACAAGGCAAUAGUGCGCGUAAGCAUGCUGCCGAGAAAAUCCGCUAAACUUAAUCCUGCAGGUACCCGUACCGCAAACGGACACACGUAGUCGGGAUGAAUAUUCUAAGGCGCUUGAGUGAUUCACGGUUAAGGAACUAGGCAAACUGACCCUGUAACUUCGGGAUAAAGGGUCCCUACCCGGUGACGGGAGGGCGCAGAGAAUAGGUCCAGGCAACUGUUUAACAAAAACACAGGGCUGUGCUAAAUCGAAAGAUCCUGUAUACAGCCUGACACCUGCCCGGUGCUGGAAGGUUAAGAGGAGACGUCAUCGUUGAGAGAAGCGUUGAAUUGAAGCCCCAGUAAACGGCGGCCGUAACUAUAACGGUCCUAAGGUAGCGAAAUUCCUUGUCGGGUAAGUUCCGACCUGCACGAAUGGUGUAAUGAUCUGGACGCUGUCUCAACCGUGAGCUCAGUGAAAUUGUAGUA